CAUAUCUUCGUUCUACUAGAUUCUAGAAAUUACCCUCUCACUUAAUUUCAUCCCUUCAGAUAUAAAAUGUGAAGUCUGUGAUCAAAGAAGAUAUUUUCAAUGAUACAAAUUAUUGGAUCUGUUAUGAAGCUCCAAAUGUCUAGAAGGUUAAAGAAAUGUUGGACCAUUUUAAAGGUUUGCUUGCAAGUGAAACUGUAGCAAUGAAGAGUGAGUAGGUCAUUGUAUAAGUCAAGCCUGAGGUGUGUGAUCUCUAUCUUUAAAAUUUUCACCAGUUCAUGGUUAGUUUCACUAUACCCUGAACUAAAAGAAGAAGGAUUUCAGCUAGAUCAUAAGUCUCUUCACACAUCCGCUAUACCUAAGUUUCUAUAACAUGGAAGUUGUUUGUCUUACUAACUUUUGUGAUGACAAUGAAUUACCUAGGAUUGGAAAUUCCAACUCUGUUACUUAUGUCAAUGAAGAAGUCUUGGGUCAAAAAUGAAGAAUGGGUGGUUCACAUUAAUGCAAAAAUCUUGGUAAUUAUUAAUUUUUUUUUUUUGUUGAGUUCAUAAUUUUCAGGUUAACUUCAACCCUGUCAGUGUCAAUUCAAUCAAGAAAACACUUGCAUCUAUAUGCAAAAAGGAGCAGAGUCAAAGUGAGUGGAGGUGAUAUCAGACAUGCAAUUAAUUUUCUACAGUAUCUUUGUCUUAAAUCACAUAUAAUGCCUAUUCUAUCGUCAAAAGAAAGACUGGAUAAUGUUAGUUGUUUGGAUGGUGUGUUCUGUUUGUCAUUCGACUAGAUAACGUUAGUUGUUUGGAUGAUGCGUUCUCUUUUCCAUUUGGAAAAGAUGAAACUCCCUCUCUAUUUUAUGCAUUAGGCAAAUUUCUACACAACAAAAGAGAGUGAGCACACUAUUGCAUCUGGUACAUCUGACUAAACUUCAUUCUCAA
Molecule: long non-coding RNA, 926 nt
Organism: Solanum tuberosum (potato)
Lineage: Eukaryota; Viridiplantae; Streptophyta; Magnoliopsida; Solanales; Solanaceae
Exons: 3
Source: RefSeq, a predicted model, not a curated record